ACAGCACUUUGUUUGAAAGCGCUUUAUAAAUAAAGUUAGUUUUAUAUAAAUCUUAAUAUGUAUUCAUUCCUGCUCAGGUUCUUGUAUUCUUUUGCAGUCACAAUACUGAGAAUUUCUGUACACAAGCUUUAUUUUUAUUGCUACAAAUCUAAUUUUUAGUUGUUUGUUUGCAGAGAGGACUUCUGCCAGCAUCCCUUCUUCAACCAGCAGAUGUCAAGACGUCCAAAGGCAAAAAGGACACUAGAAUUUCCAGUGGGAUUCCCCUCCCACCAGGACUCAAGCCACCCACUCGCCCACAGUCUCAGCAUAGUCCUGCAGCUCCUCCUCAGGGACAUCUUACCUCAGACACACCUCCUCCAUCGUACAUUACUGCCACCCACUCUGAGACUCCCUCAGACACAGCCAAAGCACGA
Molecule: non-coding RNA, 413 nt
Organism: Neolamprologus brichardi
Lineage: Eukaryota; Metazoa; Chordata; Actinopteri; Cichliformes; Cichlidae
Source: RefSeq, a predicted model, not a curated record